This 369-nucleotide ribosomal RNA is filed under the name uncultured organism. RNAcentral's name for it is "bacterial SSU rRNA". It matches the Rfam family "Bacterial small subunit ribosomal RNA", at positions 526 to 896 of the family's 1533-position model. The record is from RNAcentral.
CGGGGGGGGCAAGCGUUGUUCGGAAUUACUGGGCGUAAAGGGCUCGUAGGUGGCCAACUGAGUCAACCGUGAAAUCCCUCGGCUUAACCGGGGAACUGCGUUUGAUACUGGAUGGCUUGAGUUUGGGAGAGGGAUGCGGAAUUCCAGGUGUAGCGGUGAAAUGCGUAGAUAUCUGGAGGAACACCGGUGGCGAAGGCGGCAUCCUGGACCAAUACUGACGCUGAGGAGCGAAAGCUAGGGGAGCAAACGGGAUUAGAUACCCCGGUAGUCCUAGCCCUAAACGAUGAAUGCUUGGUGUGGCGGUAUCGAUCCCUGCCGUGCCGAAGCUAACGCAUUAAGCAUUCCGCUGGGGAUACGGUCGCAAGGCUG